This 204-nucleotide ribosomal RNA is filed under the name uncultured bacterium. RNAcentral's name for it is "partial 16S ribosomal RNA". It matches the Rfam family "Bacterial small subunit ribosomal RNA", at positions 524 to 729 of the family's 1533-position model. The record is from RNAcentral.
UACGGAGGGUGCGAGCGUUGUCCGGAAUCACUGGGCGUAAAGGGCGCGUAGGCGGCUUCUUAAGCGUGCGGUGAAAGCUCGGGGCUCAACUCCGAGUCGGCCGUGCGAACUGGGAAGCUGGAGCACAGUAGAGGCGGGUGGAAUUCCGGGUGUAGCGGUGGAAUGCGUAGAGAUCCGGAAGACACCGGUGGCGAAGGCGGCCGC